Aegilops tauschii subsp. strangulata is the source of this 4545-nucleotide long non-coding RNA. RefSeq lists it as uncharacterized. Lineage: Eukaryota; Viridiplantae; Streptophyta; Magnoliopsida; Poales; Poaceae. The record is from RefSeq and is a predicted model, not a curated record.
AUAAAACAGCAGAGUUAGUAUGCUACAUAACAUUCUCAAAAAAAGGAUAAAGGUAAAGCUUCACUUUCCUCCUUAUCGAAAUGUAGCACAUUCUAACAGAUAGAAAUGACGCGGCACAAAGAAGAAAUGUUGAAGUGUUUGCUUGUCAAAUAUGUGCACUGGCACUAAACAUCAACAAUAGUUUUUCCAUGUAAUUGUUUUGAAUAUAACCUUCAACAUAGAAAUACUUGCAGUUGCUGGCCAUGCAAUGGUGGAGAAUAUUUCAAGCAUUAUUUUGGAUAAAUGAUAGCAUGAAAAUCAACUCAUUGUACAUUCGUGCAGAUUAUUCACAUUGGUUUAUCAACAGUAAAACAACUGUAACUUUUAACAAAGUUGCUUCGUUUGCUAGUCAAUACUAGCAAAGUUACAUUGUCGUCAAUCAAAUUAAUUUAAAAGUUGCAUUGUUUGCUAGCCAAAUAUGUAGCAGACUGGCACUAGACACCAUCAAUAGUUUUUCCAUGUAAUUUGAAUAUACUCCACAGUGUAGAAAUAUUCACAAAUGCCCUCCAUACAGUGAUGGAAAAAAAAAUCUAGAUCAGACUUUAUAGGCGACAGGUAGGUGAUGUGGCCACAGCCCGUGGAGUUAUGGUGGUUUUCGCUCAGUUUUCUGUAAUAAACGGAGCCUUGUGUGUUUUUCAGGUCCGGUUUUCCUUGUAAAAAUGGAUCAGUUCUUUUCUUUUGUAUGCAGUUGUGGGAGGUCCCCACUAUGUGACAAGGCUUCGGAAAAAAAUGGUAAGAUUUGGAACAUCAAAUUCCCAUGCCCAAUAUCCAAAUCAUGGACCGUAAAAACUCUUACUAAUUCCAUCCAACAAAACAGUCCUAUAUGGUACUCCACUAUACUAGUAUCGGAUUCGGAUUCGGGCCAGACGGAGGAAGGCUUUAUAAGAGCAUGCCGUGGAAGAACCUUUUUUUUUAAGUUUCAAACUAUCCAAAAUUAUGUGGUCGUUCUAAACUUCUAAAGCAUAUGCAACUGAUCAUUACGUCAAACAAACUACAAAUAAACUGCACACUAACCAUACAAGUAAAAUCGUACUCCCUCCGUCCGGAAAAAGUUGUCACCGUGGUCAUUUUGCGAAAAAACCCUUUAGCUUUCUCCGACCAAACCCGCGGUCCAUCGUCUCCGACACAGCGCAGCUCCACUUCGCACAGCACCACCAUGCCGUUCCGCCGCGCCGCUCCACCGUUUCUCCGCGACGCCGGCGACACCUUGCAGCUCCACCACGCCGCGCCGCGAAGCUUCACCGUUCCCCGCGCAGCUCCCCUCUCCCCCACGCACCUCCCCCGUUCCCCUUUCCCCAUCCCUAAAUUUCCCACCUUUUCCCCAUCCCCUUCCUCGACUGCCUCGUUGCUGACGUCGCCGUGCUACGGACGACACGGGGUCGCUCAUGGAUUCACCAACGAGCUGCGCUAUCAUCCUAUCCCCUCUCCUUUUGGGAUGCGGGUGCGGAUCCCCAUUGACCUGUGGAUCCUCCGGUCUUCCCUUCCUGCAACAGCCCAUGGAAGAUGUCUGUGGCGAGCGAGCUGAGCAGGUUGGAUCACCAGAACGGCGCCGCCGUCGCGCCGUCCUUCCAGCCGACCUGCCCGUGUUACUGCUAUGGAAGUGAGUUAAUUCCCAUGCUGAUGCCCAUGCGCAUAUCAUUUCAGUCAAUCAUGCGCAUAACCCUGACGACGACGGCUCCUCCUCAACAUCCCAGGCUCCUCCUCCAUGUCCAAGUGCCCAAGUGCUCUGCAAGUCUGUAGGUCCUUCUCCUCGUGCCCAAAGUCUGGAAUUUUGAUCUUUUUGGAACCAUUUGUCUCUGAAGCAAAAUAAUGUGCAGUAAGAUUCUGCCAUUUAGUGCAGUAAGAUUCUGCCAUUAUGUUAACAUUAUGUGCAGUAAGAUUCUGCCAUUUUGUGUUUCUGCAUUUCAAUUGUCAACGCAUAUUCAUCUGUGUAUUGAACAAAACAUAUAGGCUGUUCUUCGAAAGUUUGAGUAUUGAUUUCAGAAAGAAAAAAAGUGUUGCCGUUAAUGUAUUGACAGUACUGAUGCUGAUGUUAAUUUGGACGCCUUGAAGGAUUUAUUUAUCCUUUUGUGUUAAAAUGGUGGAAGGCUCAAGCAGCCCAAGUUAAGACAUAAAAAUUCAGAUUAGAAACUAGUCCUAGUAAAAAAUUAGAAAAUGCCAAAAUUAAGAAGCAAGUACUCCUAGUGUGGCCACUCUGUAGAUGAAUUAAGAAAUUCCAAAUUGUUUGAAUUGGGACAGUUGUGGUGAAUGGGUCAAGUUGUGCUAGUUAGGUCUGAAACCAUGACAAAAUUCAGAAAGGUCAUGUAAUGAAAUUUGAUUAAUGUUGUCCUACAGUGUACUCAUGUAAUGAAUUUUUUGCAGUAGGGCUAGUCUUUUCAAAUAAUUCCAAGUAAUUCAAAUAAAUCCAAAUAAUUCCAAGUAAUUCAAAUAAAUUACCUAAACAUGCUCAGUUAACAGAACCUGAUUGUUAACAGAACCUAAACAUUUUCUUCUUUCUAAUGGUUGUUCCUGGAGCAAUUAUGGAAAUGGAGUCUGUACAAAUGGAGUGUGGAAAUGCAUAAAGUCUGAACUGACCAAAUGGUACAAUGCUCAGUGUGUAAGUGUUAGGAGCUAGGGUUCUGCCGGUUCUAGGGCGGAGAUUGUAGGGGAAAGAUGGAGGAAGACGAGGACGAGGGCGCGGCGGCCGGCGGCUUGGGCGUCGUCCUUGCGUGGUGGAGAAGAGGCGGUGGCGGCGCAAAAGGCGGCUAGGGUUAGGUCUCUCGGCUCCCUAAGGGAAGCCGAGCAAAUAAUGAUUGCUUCUUGCUUGAUUAGAUUGAUACAUCUCCUCCCCUUAUAUAGAGAAGUUUACUUGACUCCUAAGCAAACGACCCUAAUAACGAUAAGAUAAUUGGACUAAACCCCUAAUAACAAUAAGAUAACUUGGGCCACAGCCCACUGGGCUAAGCCCCUAAUAUGCCGGUCAUAACAGUAAGAUUGAUCAAUUGAUCAAGAUUACAAAAGAAUGCACACAGGGAGCAUUAAAAGGCAUAAAAGGAGAUUUAAUUUCAGGUUGAUUGCUUAGUCCAUCACCAUAGCACACUUUUUUCCUAACACUUUCGACAACCAUAGCACUUUACUGAACCUGUACAUGCACUCCUACUGGAGUACUCCUUCAGUACAUGUCCAAUUGUCCAAUGUAAUGUAGGAGGAGGGUCAACAACAAUUCAAUUGUCCAGUGUCAUGUAGGAGGAGGGUCAACAUCAAAUUACUACAGCUGAAUAAUUUAGUCAACUUCUUAAUCCAAGAAGUUGCAUGGCAUUAUAAUCUAAUCCAAUAAUUUAGCAAGAAGCUUUUAAUCCAACAAAAGUCUGAACCUUCAGGAGCUGCGAGCUAACAAAAGUUUAAAACAUUGACGUAAAGCAAGCAGUAGAGAUAUCAUCCUCACAGACUUGUUCCUUUUUGUUUUCUUAUUAAUAUAAACAUCGUGACUGAAAUUUGAUCUACCACUAGAUCUAGUGACAAGUGAUGAUAAUAGGACUAAACGGGUGCAGCAACAACUUGGUAAAUUCCGUUUUGUCUGAAAAACAGUUAACUGAAACUGUUAACUGUUUCUGGGAUUUCUGAAACUUGGGAAUGCAUCACUGGGACAAUUUACAGUCACUAUACAGAUUAGGAUAUUACUCACAAUUCAAACUUGUGUACUGUCAAAAAGGUUCAGGCUCAAUGCUGCAUUGCUGAAAUUACACAGUAAAUUUUUGGAGUACAGAUUAAUUGAACCCUGAAAUUUUAACUGAAUUUUACAUCCUUCUUCUUCCUGAGGAACACAAGCUCUAGCGGCAGCACAAGGAGCAGGGCAGAGGAGUAGCAGCACUGCCACGUGCACGGGCAGAGGGGUGGCAGCAGAGGCGUCCACCACCACCACCACCACCAGCCGACGGUCCUGCAGAGGAGCUCCGGGCGGAGGAGCAACAGCAGCAAGAGCAGGACCUUCUUCUUCCCCUGCUCGCCGGCGUAGCCGCUGCUGCUGGGACUGGGCGGGCCGGCGUCGCUGCAGCCGUCCUACUCCUCGAGCCCCUGGAACUCCUCCCUCCUCCGGGACGCGGCCGUGCUGCUCCCGCCCCUGGACGCGGCCGUCACGUACCCCUCAUCCUCGUCUUUCCCGGUGAUCUCGUGGCCGGCGGCGGCGAAGUCCGCGGGCAGUCCAGAGGCACGGAGGAAGAGCACGGCCAGGGCCUCGCUGCCGGGGGGCGGAUUGGGGUCCGGAUCGGGGGCCAGGGCCUCGCUGGUGGGGGCUCCAGUUCUUCUCGAUGAACACGGAGCAGCAGGAGCUUGAGCAGUCUCUGUGUGGCCGGCGCAGGUUGGCCGUCGUCGAGCUCUGGGCCCGACAGCUGGUGCCGGUGGUGGCUGGGGCGACCACGGUGCGGGCGGGCGACGGAGGAAGGAGGAAGAAGCAGUGGGGGGCUGAUUAGCAACAGUUUAAAAGGUGGAAGGGUUUUUUCACAAAAUUACAAAUGAACUAAGGUGUCA